CAGGACUGCCUCAGAGAGCAGGCUGGUGAACAGAACAGAGCCUGGCCUGAGUCUGUCCUAUC
RNAcentral lists this microRNA precursor (62 nucleotides) under Taeniopygia guttata (zebra finch). RNAcentral's name for it is "Tgu-Mir-2965_pre stem-loop". The record is from RNAcentral. Lineage: Eukaryota; Metazoa; Chordata; Aves; Passeriformes; Estrildidae.